Molecule: ribosomal RNA, 440 nt
Filed under: uncultured bacterium
Lineage: Bacteria
Description: partial 16S ribosomal RNA
Rfam family: Bacterial small subunit ribosomal RNA
Source: RNAcentral
CCUACGGGAGGCAGCAGUGGGGAAUAUUGCACAAUGGGGGAAACCCUGAUGCAGCGACGCCGCGUGAGUGAGGAAGGAUUUCGGUACGUAAAGCUCUAUCAGUAGGGAAGAAAAUGCCGGUACCUGACUAAGAAGCCACGGAUAACUACGUGCCAGCAGCUGCGGUAAUACGUAGGGGGAAAGCGUUAUCCGGAUGUACUGGGGGUAAAGGGAGCGUAGACGGAAUGGCAAGUCUGAUGUGAAAAUGCGGGGACCAACCCCCGAAGUGCAUUGGAAACUGUAUGUCUAGAGUGGCGGAGAGGCAAGUGGAAUUCCAUGUGUAGCGGUGGAAUGCGUAGAUAUCAGGAGGAACACCAGUGGCGAAGGCGGCUGGCUGGACGGUAACUGACGUUGAGGCUCGAAAGCAUGGGGAGCGAACAGGAUUAGAUACCCUAGUAGUC